GAACGCUGGCGGCAGGCCUAACACAUGCAAGUCGAGCGGUAACACAGAGGAGCUUGCUCCUUGGGUGACGAGCGGCGGACGGGUGAGUAAUGCCUGGGGAUCUGCCCGAUAGAGGGGGAUAACUACGGGAAACUGUAGCUAAUACCGCAUAAUGUCUACGGACCAAAGUGGGGGCUCUUCGGACCUCAUGCUAUCGGAUGAACCCAGGUGGGAUUAGCUAGUUGGUGAGGUAAUGGCUCACCAAGGCGACGAUCUCUAACUGGUUUGAGAGAAUGACCAGUCACACUGGAACUGAGACACGGUCCAGACUCCUACGGGAGGCAGCAGUGGGGAAUAUUGCACAAUGGGCGCAAGCCUGAUGCAGCCAUGCCGCGUGUGUGAAGAAGGCCUUCGGGUUGUAAAGCACUUUCAGCGGGGAGGAAGGGUCACUAGUUAAUACCUAGUGGCAUUGACGUUACUCGCAGAAGAAGCACCGGCUAACUCCGUGCCAGCAGCCGCGGUAAUACGGAGGGUGCAAGCGUUAAUCGGAAUUACUGGGCGUAAAGCGCACGCAGGCGGUUUGUUAAGUCAGAUGUGAAAUCCCCGAGCUCAACUUGGGAACUGCAUUUGAAACUGGCAAGCUAGAGUCUUGUAGAGGGGGG
Molecule: ribosomal RNA, 641 nt
Filed under: Plesiomonas shigelloides
Lineage: Bacteria; Pseudomonadati; Pseudomonadota; Gammaproteobacteria; Enterobacterales; Enterobacteriaceae
Description: bacterial SSU rRNA
Rfam family: Bacterial small subunit ribosomal RNA
Source: RNAcentral